UAUAUUGUUAAAGUGAAUCUUAAAUAUUGUGUGUUAAACAUAACCUAUAAUUUAUUGCAAAGCAUCUACUGGACCUAGUGCAUUUAGUUGUUAUCUUUAUUACUAGUUAGAUGUCGCUACAUUUAAUUGUUGUAUAAGAAUUGCACUGCCACCUAUUAUGUCAGUUACCAGAACACCCAGACGUAGUAUAUCAGCUGAUCUGUCUCAAGAUAAUUCACAUAUCAAAGUAAACAAAAAUUCUAUUGUAAAUAACUAGACUAACAUGCAAGUCUCAAUAAAAGAUAUUAUUGAGAAAAAAGCAAUUGGCAGGCCAAGAAAAAAUUCUGAUGAUUCUGGCUUACUGGAUAAAAUUAAACAAAUGUUUGAUAGUUAUGUUAUAACAAAUGAUAAAAGUAUGGAUGACAAACUUAAGCCAAUUGAUGAUAACAUAAAAUUAAUUACUGAUGAUAUAAAUGCAAGAAUAAUAAAAUUAAAGUUGCAGUACAAAGCUCUUUUGUCCAAAUUAAUAAUAUAACAGAUGAAAUGGUUGCUUUGAAAGAAACUAGUGUAAUUCAUACAACACAAAUAAAUACAAUUAAUGCUAUUGCUGACGCCAGCUUUGAUCAAAUUAGCAGAAUGAAUAACUAUUUGAAGUUCCAGAAGCAACAGAGCAAAACAUAUCAGACAAAGACAGAAUGAAAAUUGAUGAAGGUAAAAUUGAAAACUUAAUUAAUGUUAUUUAUAAUGACACCACACUACCACUUGGCAAAAUUAAUUUUACACUAUCUCGUAUUCAUCCAUACUCUGUUUCUUUAACUAAACCCAGAAUGCUUAAUGUCAGAUUUUUUAAAUAUAUUAAUCGAGAAUUGUUUGCUCAGAAGUUUGUAACAGCCAAAAAGAAUCAUCAACUACUUUCUUGGAUGAACCAAAUUUUUUUAUCAGACAAUUACACUCGUGCUCAAUUCAACAACGUCAACAACUAAUUCAACAGCAAGCCCAAACAAACUCAAAAGACACCAAAAUAAAAUUUAUUCGAGGCCAGUUCAAGAUUGUUCAAAUGAGAAGAACAUCAACCAAUUACUAUCAACAACAACUCUAACAUCAGACUAGCCAACCUUAUCAGUAACAGCAACAUAUAAUUCAAGUUCAUCAUCAUUAACAUGUAACACAAAUAAUUCACAUUUGUACCUAUAACCAAGUGCAAUCAACAUUGUAAAAAAUAUCAACGAACAAGACAGCUCAAACUUACAAGCAUUAUAUUUGUAUUAUCAAAACGUGAGAAGUAUUAAAAAUAAGGAUAAGGAUUCUAUAAUUCACUUUUAAGUAACUACAAUCUAAUAUUGUUAACCGAGUCGUGGCUUAACCAAGACAUUAUGUCAUCUCACUUUUUUGAUACUAAUACUUUUACAGUUUAUAGAUGCGAUCGUUCAAGUAGCACCAAAUCAAGAGGUGGUGGAGUACUCUGUGAAAUUAAUCAUACUAAAAUAGAUAAAUUUCAUAAAUUAAAACUACCAGAAACCAUAGUAGAUAUGACAGAUAGUGGGUAUUUUCAUUGAACAUCAAGGUGUUAAUUACAGGGUCUAUAUAAUUUAUAUUCCCCCUGACAGAACAAAUAGUGAUGCAAAAUUAUUUGUCAAAUACUUGAAUCAACUUGAAUUGUACCUCUCUAAAAUCAAAGCAACAACUUCGUCUUUGAUAAAUCAUUUACGGAACCGACACAAAGAACAAUAUGGUGAAUUUUCAGUAGAGCAAAUGAAAAGAAAGACACGAGGUCCUCCAGUAAAUAAACGUCGGAUCGGGUUGUCUAUAAAUGAAACCCAAGAAAUUGAUGAAACUCUCACAAGAAUGAUAGCGGUUGAUAUGCUGCCAUAUUCUUUUGUUGAAAACCAGAGUUUCAACAAUUCAUAAAAAAAAUAAUUCCUGAGUAUCAACCACACAGUCGUACAACUGUAUCAAGGUCAUUGAUGCCACAGCUGUACGAACAAUAUAAAACAAAUAUAGCUGAUCAAAUCAGAAAAGAUAUGGAAGAAAAAUUUGCUUGCUUGAAUUAUACGACAGAUGGUUGGACAUCUCGUGCUGGUGAUUCAUAAUUGUCGUUAACAUUGCAUUAUUUAACGAGCAAUUUUGAUCAUGAAAAUUCCACUCUGAAAAUAUGUCACAUUAAAACCAGUCACACUUCUUAUGAACUGGCGAAGUUACUCAAAGAAAUUUCAUCUGAGUGGAUUGGAUCUACAGAAUUGUCGUCUACAUCUUAUUGUGUGUCUGAUAAUGCUCCAAAUAUAACUUCAGCAGUUCGUAGUGCUGGAUGGGAAAGAAUUUAUUGUUUUGCCCACCAGUAGAAGGUGGCUCUUCUGGGCGACUUUGUGGAAUGCAGU
This is a long non-coding RNA of Aphidius gifuensis, 2354 nucleotides long. RefSeq lists it as uncharacterized. The record is from RefSeq and is a predicted model, not a curated record. Lineage: Eukaryota; Metazoa; Arthropoda; Insecta; Hymenoptera; Braconidae. The transcript is spliced from 4 exons.